CACACGCAAGGGGCGGAACCUGAGCUUAUCGGGGUCCAUCCGGUGGCCGAAAGGAGUGAUCCUCCGGCCCAUACUCCUCUUGCGGAGGUUAAACCGGAAAACUCAGGAGAUUA
RNAcentral lists this small RNA (113 nucleotides) under Roseibium album. Its description in RNAcentral is "Labrenzia alba rpsB sRNA". It matches the Rfam family "rpsB sRNA". RNAcentral also lists the same sequence under 1 other name. Lineage: Bacteria; Pseudomonadati; Pseudomonadota; Alphaproteobacteria; Hyphomicrobiales; Stappiaceae. The record is from Rfam by way of RNAcentral.